GUUGGGUAGGGGAGCGUUCUGUAAGCCUGUGAAGGUGGCCUGUGAGGGUUGCUGGAGGUAUCAGAAGUGCGAAUGCUGACAUAAGUAACGAUAAAGCGGGUGAAAAGCCCGCUCGCCGGAAGACCAAGGGUUCCUGUCCAACGUUAAUCGGGGCAGGGUGAGUCGACCCCUAAGGCGAGGCCGAAAGGCGUAGUCGAUGGGAAACGGGUUAAUAUUCCCGUACUUGGUGUUACUGCGAAGGGGGGACGGAGAAGGCUAUGUUGGCCGGGCGACGGUUGUCCCGGUUUAAGCGUGUAGGUGUGUGUUCCAGGUAAAUCCGGUUCACUUUAACACUGAGGCGUGAUGACGAGGCACUACGGUGCUGAAGCAACAAAUGCCCUGCUUCCAGGAAAAGCCUCUAAGCAUCAGGUAACAUCAAAUCGUACCCCAAACCGACACAGGUGGUCAGGUAGAGAAUACCAAGGCGCUUGAGAGAACUCGGGUGAAGGAACUAGGCAAAAUGGUGCCGUAACUUCGGGAGAAGGCACGCUGACAUGUAGGUGAAGUGAUUUACUCACGGAGCUGAAGUCAGUCGAAGAUACCAGCUGGCUGCAACUGUUUAUUAAAAACACAGCACUGUGCAAACACGAAAGUGGACGUAUACGGUGUGACGCCUGCCCGGUGCCGGAAGGUUAAUUGAUGGGGUCAGCGCAAGCGAAGCUCCUGAUCGAAGCCCCGGUAAACGGCGGCCGUAACUAUAACGGUCCUAAGGUAGCGAAAUUCCUUGUCGGGUAAGUUCCGACCUGCACGAAUGGCGUAAUGAUGGCCAGGCUGUCUCCACCCGAGACUCAGUGAAAUUGAACUCGCUGUGAAGAUGCAGUGUACCCGCGGCAAGACGGAAAGACCCCGUGAACCUUUACUAUAGCUUGACACUGAACAUUGAGCCUUGAUGUGUAGGAUAGGUGGGAGGCUUUGAAGUGUGGACGCCAGUCUGCAUGGAGCCGACCUUGAAAUACCACCCUUUAAUGUUUGAUGUUCUAACGUGGACCCGUAAUCCGGGUUGCGGACAGUGUCUGGUGGGUAGUUUGACUGGGGCGGUCUCCUCCUAAAGAGUAACGGAGGAGCACGAAGGUUGGCUAAUCCUGGUCGGACAUCAGGAGGUUAGUGCAAUGGCAUAAGCCAGCUUGACUGCGAGCGUGACGGCGCGAGCAGGUGCGAAAGCAGGUCAUAGUGAUCCGGUGGUUCUGAAUGGAAGGGCCAUCGCUCAACGGAUAAAAGGUACUCCGGGGAUAACAGGCUGAUACCGCCCAAGAGUUCAUAUCGACGGCGGUGUUUGGCACCUCGAUGUCGGCUCAUCACAUCCUGGGGCUGAAGUAGGUCCCAAGGGUAUGGCUGUUCGCCAUUUAAAGUGGUACGCGAGCUGGGUUUAGAACGUCGUGAGACAGUUCGGUCCCUAUCUGCCGUGGGCGCUGGAGAACUGAGGGGGGCUGCUCCUAGUACGAGAGGACCGGAGUGGACGCAUCACUGGUGUUCGGGUUGUCAUGCCAAUGGCACUGCCCGGUAGCUAAAUGCGGAAGAGAUAAGUGCUGAAAGCAUCUAAGCACGAAACUUGCCCCGAGAUGAGUUCUCCCUGAGACUUUAGGUCUCCUGAAGGAACGUUGAAGACGACGACGUUGAUAGGCCGGGUGUGUAAGCGCAGCGAUGCGUUGAGCUAACCGGUACUAAUGAACCGUGAGGCUUAACCUUACAACGCCGAAG
Molecule: ribosomal RNA, 1737 nt
Filed under: Salmonella enterica
Lineage: Bacteria; Pseudomonadati; Pseudomonadota; Gammaproteobacteria; Enterobacterales; Enterobacteriaceae
Description: bacterial LSU rRNA
Rfam family: Bacterial large subunit ribosomal RNA
Source: RNAcentral